Long non-coding RNA from Branchiostoma floridae (Florida lancelet), 333 nucleotides. RefSeq lists it as uncharacterized. The record is from RefSeq and is a predicted model, not a curated record. NCBI's taxonomy places the organism in Eukaryota, Metazoa, Chordata, Leptocardii, Amphioxiformes, Branchiostomatidae. The transcript has 3 exons.
UCAUUUUCUAUGUUCACCUAUCUAACCAGCUCCUCUCCAGUGGUUGACCGACGAACCGUCGACCCCGUUGGACCUGUGUGUUCUCCUGGACAGCUCUAACAGCUACAAAGCAAAGGCAACUUUCUGCACGGAGCAGCACAACUACGUCUGCCAGGAUGCUCUAAAACCAUGUGAGCCAAACGUGUGUCAGAACGACAUCAACUCUUACACCUGCCAAUGCCCAGUCGGUUACCAAGGAGACCACUGCGAGACAGACCUGGAUUGGUGCUCCCAAGUCACGUGUCCAUUUGGGUUUGUCUGCCAGGACUUCACGUUCUACUUCCAAUGCGUUCG